GCGCUCAUAGCUCAGCUGGAUAGAGCACUUGGCUACGAACUAAGGGGUCGGGAGUUCGAAGUCUCUCUGAGCGACACCA
RNAcentral lists this transfer RNA (79 nucleotides) under Acinetobacter baumannii. RNAcentral describes it as "tRNA-Arg". It matches the Rfam family "tRNA". Rfam says of the family: Transfer RNA (tRNA) molecules are approximately 80 nucleotides in length. Their secondary structure includes four short double-helical elements and three loops (D, anti-codon, and T loops). Lineage: Bacteria; Pseudomonadati; Pseudomonadota; Gammaproteobacteria; Moraxellales; Moraxellaceae. The record is from RNAcentral.